RNAcentral lists this ribosomal RNA (871 nucleotides) under uncultured organism. RNAcentral's name for it is "bacterial SSU rRNA". It matches the Rfam family "Bacterial small subunit ribosomal RNA", at positions 9 to 873 of the family's 1533-position model. The record is from RNAcentral.
AGAGUUUGAUCAUGGCUCAGAUUGAACGCUGGCGGCAGGCUUAACACAUGCAAGUCGAGCGGAGAUGAGGUGCUUGUACCUUAUCUUAGCGGCGGACGGGUGAGUAAUGCUUAGGAAUCUGCCUAUUAGUGGGGGACAACAUUCCGAAAGGAAUGCUAAUACCGCAUACGUCCUACGGGAGAAAGCAGGGGAUCUUCGGACCUUGCGCUAAUAGAUGAGCCUAAGUCGGAUUAGCUAGUUGGUGGGGUAAAGGCCUACCAAGGCGACGAUCUGUAGCGGGUCUGAGAGGAUGAUCCGCCACACUGGGACUGAGACACGGCCCAGACUCCUACGGGAGGCAGCAGUGGGGAAUAUUGGACAAUGGGGGGAACCCUGAUCCAGCCAUGCCGCGUGUGUGAAGAAGGCCUUAUGGUUGUAAAGCACUUUAAGCGAGGAGGAGGCUACUGAGACUAAUACUCUUGGAUAGUGGACGUUACUCGCAGAAUAAGCACCGGCUAACUCUGUGCCAGCAGCCGCGGUAAUACAGAGGGUGCGAGCGUUAAUCGGAUUUACUGGGCGUAAAGCGUGCGUAGGCGGCUUUUUAAGUCGGAUGUGAAAUCCCCGAGCUUAACUUGGGAAUUGCAUUCGAUACUGGGAAGCUAGAGUAUGGGAGAGGAUGGUAGAAUUCCAGGUGUAGCGGUGAAAUGCGUAGAGAUCUGGAGGAAUACCGAUGGCGAAGGCAGCCAUCUGGCCUAAUACUGACGCUGAGGUACGAAAGCAUGGGGAGCAAACAGGAUUAGAUACCCUGGUAGUCCAUGCCGUAAACGAUGUCUACUAGCCGUUGGGGCCUUUGAGGCUUUAGUGGCGCAGCUAACGCGAUAAGUAGACCGCC